This 254-nucleotide ribosomal RNA is filed under the name uncultured bacterium. RNAcentral's name for it is "partial 16S ribosomal RNA". It matches the Rfam family "Bacterial small subunit ribosomal RNA", at positions 524 to 776 of the family's 1533-position model. The record is from RNAcentral.
UACAGAGGGGGGCAAGCGUUAUUCGGAAUUAUUGGGCGUAAAGGGCGCGUAGGCGGCUUGGCAAGUGGAUGGUGAAAUCCCUCGGCUUAACCGAGGAACGGCCGUCCAAACUGCUUCGCUUGAGACCGGGAGAGGUGAGUGGAAUUCCCAGUGUAGCGGUGAAAUGCGUAGAUAUUGGGAGGAACACCAGUGGCGAAGGCGGCUCACUGGCCCGUAACUGACGCUGAGGCACGAAAGCGUGGGGAGCAAACAGG